UGGGGAAUUUUGCGCAAUGGGGGAAACCCUGACGCAGCAACCCCGCGUGGACGAUGAAGCAUCUUGGUGUGUAAAGUCCUUUCGGCAGGGACGAAUAAAUUGACGGUACCUGCAGAAGAAGCCCCGGCUAACUCCGUGCCAGCAGCCGCGGUAAUACGGGGGGGGCGAGCGUUGUUCGGAAUUAUUGGGCGUAAAGGGCGCGUAGGCGGUGUGGCAAGUCAGGUGUGAAACCUCCAGGCUCAACUUGGAGCUUGCAUCUGAAACUGCCGUGCUAGAGUGUGGGAGAGGAGAGUGGAAUUCCUGGUGUAGCGGUGAAAUGCGUAGAUAUCAGGAGGAACACCGGUGGCGAAGGCGGCUCUCUGGACCACAACUGACGCUGAGGCGCGAAAGCUAGGGGAGCAAACAG
This 406-nucleotide ribosomal RNA is filed under the name uncultured bacterium. RNAcentral describes it as "bacterial SSU rRNA". It matches the Rfam family "Bacterial small subunit ribosomal RNA", at positions 355 to 775 of the family's 1533-position model. The record is from RNAcentral.